This 450-nucleotide ribosomal RNA is filed under the name uncultured bacterium. RNAcentral describes it as "partial 16S ribosomal RNA". It matches the Rfam family "Bacterial small subunit ribosomal RNA", at positions 354 to 796 of the family's 1533-position model. The record is from RNAcentral.
GUGGGGAAUAUUGGACAAUGGGCGAAAGCCUGAUCCAGCCAUGCCGCGUGUGUGAAGAAGGUCUUCGGAUUGUAAAGCACUUUAAGUUGGGAGGAAGGGUAGUAACCUAAUACGUUGCUACUUUGACGUUAACGACAGAAUAAGCACCGGCUAACUUCGUGCCAGCAGCCGCGGUAAUACGAAGGGUGCAAGCGUUAAUCGGAAUUACUGGGCGUAAAGCGCGCGUAGGUGGUUCAGUAAGUUGGAAGUGAAAUCCCCGGGCUCAACCUGGGAACUGCUUUCAAAACUGCUGAGCUAGAGUACGGUAGAGGGUGGUGGAAUUUCCUGUGUAGCGGUGAAAUGCGUAGAUAUAGGAAGGAACACCAGUGGCGAAGGCGACCACCUGGACUGAUACUGACACUGAGGUGCGAAAGCGUGGGGAGCAAACAGGAUUAGAUACCCGAGUAGUCC